GAUGAACGCUGGCGGCGUGCCUAAUACAUGCAAGUCGAGCGAACAGACGAGGAGCUUGCUCCUCUGACGUUAGCGGCGGACGUGUGAGUAACACGUGGAUAACCUACCUAUAAGACUGGGAUAACUUCGGGAAACCGGAGCUAAUACCGGAUAAGAUAUUGAACCGUAUGGUUCAAUAGUGAAAUACGGUUUUGCUAUCACUUAUAGAUGGAUCCGCGCCUCAUUAGCUAGUUGGUAAGGUAACGGAUUACCAAGGCAACGAUGCGUAGCCGACCUGAGAGGGUGAUCGGCCACACUGGAACUGAGACACGGUCCAGACUCCUACGGGAGGAAGCAGUAGGGAAUCUUCCGCAAUGGGCGAAAGCUUGACGGAGCAACGCCGCGUGAGUGAUGAAGGUUUUCGGAUCGUAAAACUCUGUUAUUAGGGAAAAACAAAUGUGUAAGUAACUAUGCACGUCUUGACGGUACCUAAUCAGAAAGCCACGGCUAACUACGUG
RNAcentral lists this ribosomal RNA (497 nucleotides) under uncultured bacterium. RNAcentral's name for it is "partial 16S ribosomal RNA". It matches the Rfam family "Bacterial small subunit ribosomal RNA", at positions 28 to 507 of the family's 1533-position model. The record is from RNAcentral.